This 208-nucleotide ribosomal RNA is filed under the name uncultured bacterium. Its description in RNAcentral is "partial 16S ribosomal RNA". It matches the Rfam family "Bacterial small subunit ribosomal RNA", at positions 568 to 774 of the family's 1533-position model. The record is from RNAcentral.
UGCGUAGGUGGUGAGGUAAGUCGGAUGUGAAAUCUCCGGGCUCAACCCGGAAAUGGCAUUGGAAACUACCUUGCUGGAGGAUUUGAGGGGGGAGUUGGAAUACUUGGUGUAGCAGUGAAAUGCGUAGAUAUCAAGUGGAACACCAGUGGCGAGGGCGAAUCCCUGGAAAAUACCUGACACUGAGGCACGAAAGCUAGGGGAGCAAACA